This 298-nucleotide ribosomal RNA is filed under the name uncultured gamma proteobacterium MB10g-MO3. RNAcentral's name for it is "partial 16S ribosomal RNA". It matches the Rfam family "Bacterial small subunit ribosomal RNA", at positions 213 to 504 of the family's 1533-position model. The record is from RNAcentral. Lineage: Bacteria; Pseudomonadati; Pseudomonadota; Gammaproteobacteria.
UCGCGCUAUCAGAUGAGCCUGCGUUGGAUUAGCUAGUUGGUAGGGUAAAGGCCUACCAAGGCGACGAUCCAUAGCUGGUCUGAGAGGACGAUCAGCCACACUGGGACUGAGACACGGCCCAGACUCCUACGGGAGGCAGCAGUGGGGAAUAUUGGACAAUGGGCGCAAGCCUGAUCCAGCAAUACCGCGUGUGUGAAGAAGGCCUGAGGGUUGUAAAGCACUUUUAAUCGGGAGGAAAACCUAUCGGCUAAUACCCGGUAGYUUGACAUUACCGAUAGAAAAAGCACCGGCUAACUCC